RNAcentral lists this ribosomal RNA (448 nucleotides) under uncultured bacterium. RNAcentral describes it as "bacterial SSU rRNA". It matches the Rfam family "Bacterial small subunit ribosomal RNA", at positions 329 to 794 of the family's 1533-position model. The record is from RNAcentral.
GUCCAGACUCCUACGGGAGGCAGCAGUGGGGAAUAUUGCACAAUGGGCGAAAGCCUGAUGCAGCAACGCCGCGUGAAGGAAGACGGUUUUCGGAUUGUAAACUUCUGUUCUUAGUGAAGAAUAAUGACGGUAACUAAGGAGCAAGCCACGGCUAACUACGUGCCAGCAGCCGCGGUAAUACGUAGGUGGCAAGCGUUGUCCGGAAUUACUGGGUGUAAAGGGAGCGUAGGCGGGAAUGCAAGUUGAAUGUUUAAACUAUGGGCUCAACCCAUAGUCGCGUUCAAAACUGCAUUUCUUGAGUGGAGUAGAGGCAGGCGGAAUUCCUAGUGUAGCGGUGAAAUGCGUAGAUAUUAGGAGGAACACCAGUGGCGAAGGCGGCCUGCUGGGCUCUAACUGACGCUGAGGCUCGAAAGCGUGGGUAGCAAACAGGAUUAGAUACCCCCGUAAA